UUUCCGUAGGUGAACCUGCGGAAGGAUCAUUCAUAAUAAAGUGUUUUAUGGCACUUUUUAAAAAUCCAUAUCCUCCUUGUGUGCAAUGUUAGUUCUCGUCAAUCUUGUCGAGAUUUUUAUACAUCAACUCAUUCUUUAACUAAUUUGUCUGAAAAAUAUUAUGAAUACUUAAUUCAAAAUACAACUUUCAACAACGGAUCUCUUGGCUCUC
This 211-nucleotide unclassified non-coding RNA is filed under the name plant metagenome. RNAcentral describes it as "partial contains small subunit ribosomal RNA, internal transcribed spacer 1, and 5.8S ribosomal RNA". The record is from RNAcentral.